This 593-nucleotide long non-coding RNA is filed under the name Mus musculus (house mouse). Its description in RNAcentral is "GTPase, IMAP family member 1, opposite strand". Lineage: Eukaryota; Metazoa; Chordata; Mammalia; Rodentia; Muridae. The record is from RNAcentral.
GCAUUUCCCCAGAAAGGCUCUUACCAUAGGCGUCUUCCUCAUCUCUUGCCAUCUUCCUUCCUCCCAUGCUUCUUAGAAGGCUCUCGGUUUUGGUUUUCUCAUUUGUGUGCUCAUUCCUGCAGCUGAGCAAAACCCAACCACAGAGUCAGGCAAAUUCUAAAGAAUACAAAGCAAGGCUUUUGUCUGCAAGGAGCCGAGCAUUUAGGCGUGCGCUUCCGUUUACAGGCACUUCGGGGGCACCUUUUGUCCACCAUAAAAUCAGCAAAUGCCCACAAAUGACACAGAUCAGAACUGAAGAAACAGCCGUAAGAGCGGGGGCAAUGAGCAAGACGCGGAGAAACAGAGGUAUCCCUGCAGUUGGAGUGGGACAAACUCCAGGAAGACAAGUGAGGACUAAUUCCAUUCCUCUCAAGUUUGCUAGAGCCCCUCCGACUGGCAAGGAGAAGAAGAGACUUCUGAGAGACAGACGUGGCCCAUGAGGAGUAGCCAUGAAAGCAUGGUUUAUAAGGACACAGAAGGAUCGUUUGCCUUUGCUGAAUGUGCUUUUUUUUUCUAUAGAAAGAAACAUUUAAUGAAAUUUCUUUCAAAAUUCA